This 253-nucleotide ribosomal RNA is filed under the name uncultured bacterium. Its description in RNAcentral is "partial 16S ribosomal RNA". It matches the Rfam family "Bacterial small subunit ribosomal RNA", at positions 524 to 776 of the family's 1533-position model. The record is from RNAcentral.
UACGUAGGGUGCAAGCGUUGUCCGGAAUUAUUGGGCGUAAAGAGCUCGUAGGCGGUUUGUCGCGUCGGCUGUGAAAUCCCGAGGCUCAACCUCGGGUCUGCAGUCGAUACGGGCAAACUAGAGUAUUGCAGGGGAGACUGGAAUUCCUGGUGUAGCGGUGAAAUGCGCAGAUAUCAGGAGGAACACCGGUGGCGAAGGCGGGUCUCUGGGCAAUAACUGACGCUGAGGAGCGAAAGCGUGGGGAGCGAACAGG